AGUGAACGCUGGCGGUAGGCCUAACACAUGCAAGUCGAACGGCAGCACAGUAAGAGCUUGCUCUUACGGGUGGCGAGUGGCGGACGGGUGAGGAAUACAUCGGAAUCUACUUUUUCGGGGGGGAUAACGUAGGGAAACUUACGCUAAUACCGCAUACGACCUACGGGUGAAAGCAGGGGAUCUUCGGACCUUGCGCGAUUGAAUGAGCCGAUGUCGGAUUAGCUAGUUGGCGGGGUAAAGGCCCACCAAGGCGACGAUCCGUAGCUGGUCUGAGAGGAUGAUCGGCCACACUGGAACUGAGACACGGUCCAGACGCCUACGGGAGGCAGCAGUGGGGAAUAUUGGACAAUGGGCGCAAGCCUGAUCCAGCCAUACCGCGUGGGUGAAGAAGGCCUUCGGGUUGUAAAGCCCUUUUGUUGGGAAAGAAAAGCAGCAGGUUAAUACCCCGCUGUUCUGACGGUACCCAAAGAAUAAGCACCGGCUAACUUCGUG
RNAcentral lists this ribosomal RNA (492 nucleotides) under uncultured bacterium. RNAcentral describes it as "partial 16S ribosomal RNA". It matches the Rfam family "Bacterial small subunit ribosomal RNA", at positions 29 to 507 of the family's 1533-position model. The record is from RNAcentral.